RNAcentral lists this ribosomal RNA (384 nucleotides) under uncultured eukaryote. RNAcentral's name for it is "partial 18S ribosomal RNA". It matches the Rfam family "Eukaryotic small subunit ribosomal RNA", at positions 592 to 976 of the family's 1831-position model. The record is from RNAcentral.
CAAUAGCGUAUAUUAAAGUUGUUGCGGUUAAAAAGCUCGUAGUUGGAUUUCGGCGGACAGGGGGCGGUUCGAUAUUUGUCGCUACUGCCCCAUUUGUCCGUGUUUUUGGCGGAGGUUUCAGGGUGCUCUUCACCGAGUGUCCUGGGAUGCCGCCAGGUUUACUUUGAAAAAAUUAGAGUGCUCAAAGCAGGCUUUACACGCUUGAAUAUUCGUGCAUGGAAUAAUGGAAUAGGACGUCGUUUCUAUUUUGUUGGUUUUCGGAAAUCGACGUAAUGAUUAACAGGGACAGUCGGGGGCAUUAGUAUUCAGACGACAGAGGUGAAAUUCUUGGACCGUCUGAAGACUAACUACUGCGAAAGCAUUUGCCAAGAAUGUUUUCAUUAA